This 253-nucleotide long non-coding RNA is filed under the name Sorghum bicolor (sorghum). RNAcentral's name for it is "long non-coding RNA (SBIC_LNC006050)". The record is from RNAcentral. Lineage: Eukaryota; Viridiplantae; Streptophyta; Magnoliopsida; Poales; Poaceae.
UUGGCACAUCAAUAAUAUUCUCAUUCAUCCAUAUCAAAUGUGUACAUAUAUAGUCAUGUCACUAGCUUAAGAUGCUUGCCAUCAAGCCAACAUACAAGCAUGCAUAUAGCAGCUGAAAAUAAAAUCUAGCUAAGUCAUCCAAAAUUGAUCCAACAUUGAUCAAAAAAUAUGACCAUCAUAUAAGACCUUGUGUAUUCUUCAACAAGCAGGUCCAAUUUCACAAUGCAUUAUAUCCUCUCAAGCACAACAAUCU